Acanthosepion pharaonis is the source of this 108-nucleotide non-coding RNA. Lineage: Eukaryota; Metazoa; Mollusca; Cephalopoda; Sepiida; Sepiidae. The record is from the annotation of a GenBank genome assembly.
UACAGCUAUAUCACGUUGAAAUACCGGUUCCCGUACGUUCACCGAAGUUAAGCAACAUCGACCCUGGUAAGUACCUAGAUGGGUGACCACUUAGGAAUACCACGUACU